CCAUUUCCAUAGUGACGCUGUCUACACUCCACUCCAGUUGGCACAGCCGCCCCGACACCGAACACCGCGUCGUUAGGCAACAUCCCACAGCCACUAGUCUCGCCUCCAUGACCACCGCAUUGUUGUCUCUUUGGUGCGCCAAAUUUUGUGCCAAUAGGUAGUUUACUGCAAGAAUCAUCGCCAAAUUUCCUUGGUCCACCGCAAGAAUCAUUGCCCCGUUACCGUUCUCGCUGAUUGAAGAAAUUUAAAAAGGAAGACAAGCAACUUUCAGAAAGGAACAGAAGCAUAUAUGUGAAGAUCUAAUUCUUUGCAAAGAAGUAAAUUGAAAAAAUGGAUUUAUAAGAGCAAAGGACAACCCACAAUUCAUGAGUGAUAUAUGUUUUCUAUGCUCGUUAGCAAGUAAUUUAGAUAAUUGGCUAGAGAUAAACUUCAG
Molecule: non-coding RNA, 433 nt
Organism: Arachis ipaensis
Lineage: Eukaryota; Viridiplantae; Streptophyta; Magnoliopsida; Fabales; Fabaceae
Source: RefSeq, a predicted model, not a curated record